RNAcentral lists this ribosomal RNA (497 nucleotides) under uncultured bacterium. RNAcentral's name for it is "partial 16S ribosomal RNA". It matches the Rfam family "Bacterial small subunit ribosomal RNA", at positions 28 to 507 of the family's 1533-position model. The record is from RNAcentral.
GAUGAACGCUGGCGGCGUGCCUAAUACAUGCAAGUCGAGCGAACGGACGAGAAGCUUGCUUCUCUGCUGUUAGCGGCGGACGGGUGAGUAACACGUGGAUAACCUACCUAUAAGACUGGGAUAACUUCGGGAAACCGGAGCUACUACUGGAUCAUAUUUUGAACCGCAUGGAUCAAAAGUGAAAGACGGUCUUGCUGUCACUUAUAGAUGGAUCCGCGCUGCAUUAGCUAGUUGGUAAGGUAACGGCCUACCAAGGCAACGAUGCAUAGCCGACCUGAGAGGAUGAUCGGCCACACUGGAACUGAGACACGGUCCAGACUCCUACGGGAGGCAGCAGUGGGGAAUCUUCCACAAUGGGCGAAAGCCUGACGGAGCAACGCCGCGUGAGUGAUGAAGGUCUUCGGAUCGUAAAACUCUGUUAUUAGGGAAGAACAUAUGUGUAAGAAACUGUGCACAUCUUGACGGUACCUAAUCAGAAAGCCACGGCUAACUACGUG